CACAAAUAACAAAGUGCUGAUAGUGAAGCCACAAAAUGUUAAUAUGAGGUCAUUGGGGAGGAGGAGUAUGGAACUUCUCGGUAAAGCCUGGAAAAGGCCAAAUAAGCAGAGAACACUCAAUUGCUAAAGAACCAAAAGGCAGAUUCCUUGUAGCCACUAUGGUAACAAACCAUUCUCUUCACGGUUGAUAUCAACUACCAAUAGUUGACUGGAUGGUCUUUGGGUGAUUGAAACUCAGUAUCUGCAGAGAGUCUACAUUUCUCCUAACAGAGGUUUGCAUCUAUGGAGACAGUUUGGAAACCUCAAGCAUUAGGAUACUUAUGCUGCUUUUCUCAACACAUUCUGUGAAAGGACACAGUCCAGACCAAGGUUAUGCAAGUGAGAAAAAUAAGAACCAGAAACUAAAAGAAACUAUAAAGCCUAAUUAUGGAUUUUUAAAUUAAAUGUAUUGUUCAGAUUAAUCUGUUCAGAAUCCUUUUUAACAUUUAGAAUUCAAUCAUGUAUAAAUUACCAUGGAUAUUACGGUUCCUGAUUAUAAUGUGAUAUAUAUUCAAUACUAGAUUCAGAAUAACAGGCAAAGCCUUACAGAAAAGGAAUGUAAAUGAGUGUGUGGAUGGUACCCACUGUAGUCUUAUACCUGUCUUCAUAACCUGGAAGUAUGAGAUUAUAUUGGUCUCUGGGAUAUUCUAACCCAAUAUCUGUCAUAAAUAGUUGUAUUUUUAUUCUUGGACUUAAAUUUCUGAAUGUUGAGUUUCAAAUAUGGCUCAGUCGGCUGAGUGUCCAACUUCAACCUUGGUCAUGAUCUCGUGGUCCAUGAGUUUAAGUCCCGUGUCGGUCUCUGUGCUGAUAGCUCAGAGCCUGGAGCCUGCCUCAGAUUCUGUGUCUCUCUCUCUGGCUACCCCUCCCCCACUCAUGCCCUGGCUUUCUCUGUCUCUCAAAAAUGAAUAAACAUUAAAACAAUUUUAAGUUACAGUGAGUAUGCUAAGUGAAAUUAGAGAAAGACAAAUAUCAUAUGACCUCACUCAUAUGAGGACUUUGAGAGACAAAACAGAUGAACUUAAGG
Molecule: long non-coding RNA, 1063 nt
Organism: Neofelis nebulosa (Clouded leopard)
Lineage: Eukaryota; Metazoa; Chordata; Mammalia; Carnivora; Felidae
Exons: 3
Source: RefSeq, a predicted model, not a curated record